RNAcentral lists this ribosomal RNA (301 nucleotides) under uncultured bacterium. Its description in RNAcentral is "partial 16S ribosomal RNA". It matches the Rfam family "Bacterial small subunit ribosomal RNA", at positions 509 to 809 of the family's 1533-position model. The record is from RNAcentral.
CAGUAGCCACGGGAAUACGGAGGGUGCAAGCGUUAAUCGGAAUUACUGGGCGUAAAGCGUGCGUAGGCGGUUCGUUAAGUCUGUUGUGAAAGCCCCGGGCUCAACCUGGGAAUGGCAAUGGAUACUGGCGAGCUAGAGUGUGUCAGAGGAUGGUGGAAUUCCCGGUGUAGCGGUGAAAUGCGUAGAGAUCGGGAGGAACAUCAGUGGCGAAGGCGGCCAUCUGGGACAACACUGACGCUGAGGCACGAAAGCGUGGGGAGCAAACAGGAUUAGAUACCCCAGUAGUCCCUGUCUUUAUACA